AGAGUUUGAUCCUGGCUCAGAACGUACGCUGGCGGCACGCCUAACACAUGCAAGUCGAACGAAGUAGCAAUACUUAGUGGCAGACGGGUGAGUAACAUGUAGGUAUCUUCCCUUUGGCCUGGAAUAACACGAGGAAACUUGUGCUAAUACCGGAUAAGUCUUUACAGAGAAAGCUUUAUGCACCAUUGGAUGAGCCUGCACUAGAUUAGUUUGUUGGUAGGGUAAUGGCCUACCAAGACUGUGAUCUAUAGCUGAUUUGAGAGGAUGAUCAGCCACAUUGGGACUGAGACACGGCCCAAACUCCUACGGGAGGCAGCAGUGGGGAAUCUUGCACAAUGGAGGAAACUCUGAUGCAGCGAUGCCGCGUGAGUGAAGAAGGCCUUUGGGUUGUAAAGCUCUUUCGUCGGGGAAGAAAAUGACUGUACCCGAAUAAGAAGGUCCGGCUAACUUCGUGCCAGCAGCCGCGGUAAUACGAAGGGACCUAGCGUAGUUCGGAAUUACUGGGCUUAAAGAGUUCGUAGGUGG
Molecule: ribosomal RNA, 525 nt
Filed under: uncultured Alphaproteobacteria bacterium
Lineage: Bacteria; Pseudomonadati; Pseudomonadota; Alphaproteobacteria
Description: bacterial SSU rRNA
Rfam family: Bacterial small subunit ribosomal RNA
Source: RNAcentral